RNAcentral lists this ribosomal RNA (589 nucleotides) under uncultured bacterium. Its description in RNAcentral is "partial 16S ribosomal RNA". It matches the Rfam family "Bacterial small subunit ribosomal RNA", at positions 355 to 1375 of the family's 1533-position model. The record is from RNAcentral.
UGGGGAAUCUUCCGCAAUGGACGAAAGUCUGACGGAGCAACGCCGCGUGAGUGAAGAAGGUUUUCGGAUCGUAAAACUCUGUCUUUUGGGGCGAACGUGAGUAUGGUGAACAAUCAUAGUCAGUGACGGUACCAAAGGAGGAAGCCACGGCUAACUACGUGCCAGCAGCCGCGGUAAUACGUAGGUGGCAAGCGUUGUCCGGAAUUAUUGGGCGUAAAGAGCGCGUAGGCGGGAUAGUCAGUCUGUUGUAAAAGUGCGGGGCUCGACCCCGUGAUGGCAAUGGAAACAGCUAUUCUUGAGUGCAGGAGAGGAAAGUGGAAUUCCCAGUGUAGCGGUGAAAUGCGUAGAUAUUGGGAGGAACACCAGUGGCGAAGGCGACUUUCUGGACUGUGUCUGACGCUGAGGCGCGAAAGCCAGGGGAGCGAACGGGAUUAGAUACCCCCGGUAGUCCUGGCCGUAAACGAUGGGUACUAGGUGUGGGAGGUAUCGACCCCUUCCGUGCCGGAGUUAACGCAAUAAGUACCCCGCCUGGGGAGUACGGUCGCAAGACUGAAACUCAAAGGAAUUGACGGGGUCAUAGCUGUUUCCU